RNAcentral lists this ribosomal RNA (198 nucleotides) under uncultured bacterium. RNAcentral describes it as "partial 16S ribosomal RNA". It matches the Rfam family "Bacterial small subunit ribosomal RNA", at positions 328 to 539 of the family's 1533-position model. The record is from RNAcentral.
ACGCUCGACACCUACGGGAGGCUGCAGUGGGGAAUAUUGCACAAUGGGGGAAACCCUGAUGCAGCGACGCCGCGUGGAGGAAGAAGGUCUUCGGAUUGUAAACUCCUGUUGUUGGGGAAAAAGAGGAUGGUACCCAACAAGGAAGUGACGGCUAACUACGUGCCAGUAGCCGCGGUAAUCUGAGCGGGCUGGCAAGGC